GAUGAACGCUGGCGGCGUGCCUAAUACAUGCAAGUCGAGCGAACAGACGAGGAGCUUGCUCCUCUGACGUUAGCGGCGGACGGGUGAGUAACACGUGGAUAACCUACCUAUAAGACUGGGAUAACUUCGGGAAACCGGAGCUAAUAACGGAUAAUAUAUUGAACCGCAUGGUUCAAUAGUGAAAGACGGUUUUGCUUUCACUUAUAGAUUGAUCCGCGCCGCAUUAGCUAGUUGGUAAGGUAACGGCUUACCAAGGCAACGAUGCGUAGCCGACCUGAGAGGGUGAUCGGCCACACUGGAACUGAGACACGGUCCAGACUCCUACGGGAGGCAGCAGUAGGGAAUCUUCCGCAAUGGGCGAAAGCUUGACGGAGCAACGCCGCGUGAGUGAUGAAGGUCUUCGGAUCGUAAAACUCUGUUAUUAGGGAAGAACAAAUGUGUAAGUAACUAUGCACGUCUUGACGGUACCUAAUCAGAAAGCCACGGCUAACUACGUG
This 497-nucleotide ribosomal RNA is filed under the name uncultured bacterium. Its description in RNAcentral is "partial 16S ribosomal RNA". It matches the Rfam family "Bacterial small subunit ribosomal RNA", at positions 28 to 507 of the family's 1533-position model. The record is from RNAcentral.